AACGAACGUUGGCGGCGUGGAUUAGGCAUGCAAGUCGAACGCGAAUCCCUGGGCAACUGGGGAGGAGAGUGGCGAAAGGGGCAGUAAGGCGUGGGUAACCUACCCUCCGGGCCGGGAUAGCUUCGGGAAACUGAAGGUAAUACCGGGCGACGCAGCGAGAUCGCAUGGUCUUGCUGCCAAAGGUCCGCCGCCGGGGGAGGGGCUCACGUGGUAUUAGCUAGACGGCGGGGUAACGGCCCACCGUGGCAAAGAUGCCUAGCAGGUGUGAGAGCACGACCUGCGCCACUGGCACUGAGACACUGGCCAGACACCUACGGGUGGCUGCAGUCGAGGAUCUUCGGCAAUGGGCGCAAGCCUGACCGAGCGACGCCGCGUGUGCGAUGAAGGCCUUCGGGUUGUAAAGCACUGUCGAGAGGGAGGAAGCCGCAAGGUUGACCUAUCCCUGGAGGAAGCACGGGCUAAGUUCGUG
Molecule: ribosomal RNA, 469 nt
Filed under: uncultured bacterium
Lineage: Bacteria
Description: partial 16S ribosomal RNA
Rfam family: Bacterial small subunit ribosomal RNA
Source: RNAcentral